RNAcentral lists this small RNA (30 nucleotides) under Bombyx mori (domestic silkworm). RNAcentral's name for it is "ovarian small RNA-38166". Lineage: Eukaryota; Metazoa; Arthropoda; Insecta; Lepidoptera; Bombycidae. The record is from RNAcentral.
UUGUGUCCCCCACCCCCUCCGUUCGGGGAU